Molecule: long non-coding RNA, 895 nt
Organism: Perognathus longimembris pacificus (Pacific pocket mouse)
Lineage: Eukaryota; Metazoa; Chordata; Mammalia; Rodentia; Heteromyidae
Exons: 3
Source: RefSeq, a predicted model, not a curated record
CCAGGCUGAGGCCCAAGUUGGGAAAUACAGAUGUAUUUCAACCCUGAAUCGUACGUUUAGAGCCAACAGGGUUUUUCUGAAGCCAUCUGGGUGACUGAACAAUAUUUAUGUUUCAGUUUAUGCUACCAUGAGUUGGAGGCUCAGUUGUUCAUACUCAAGACUCUGUGUUUUCUAGGCCCCAUAUGAAGUGAGAAUUUAUCUCUGCAUCAAAUCCAGACUUCAGGGUGUAGGCACCGGGAUCAUACCACUUCUGAUACUUAAGUCCAGACUCUUCACACGAGGCAAGAAGCAUCCGCAGUUAAUAGUUGACAGUAAAUUACACAAAGUAAAACACGCAGAAUUAAAGUUAGGAAAUCUGGGGAGAUUUUCUAUCAUUUUCAAUUUUCUGCACAAAUACAGACAUAAUCAGUGUUUAGGAUCUGCAUGUGAUGAAUUAAUUACAUCUGUAAUUCACUCUUUUUCAUGUUCCUGCAUCCAGACGGUAAUUUGCUUCCAAAUAUCUUUGCUCAUCUAAUAUUCUAAAGUUGUUCAUAGGCUGAAAAUAAGUCUAGUAGCACAUUGCCAUCCAGGCUGCUUUUGUAGCUAAGUAGCUUACAAAUGGGGCCAAAUUAAAAAAGAAAAUGUUCCAGAGGAAAAAAGGGAGUCAACUUUGUCAUCACCGAAACAAGAUGCAUCUUUGAUGCAUGGCAUUGCUUUUCAGAUGAGCCAUGAAAAAGAAAUACCUGAAGAAUUCAUUAUUUGUAUAAGAUCUUGUUAGUAAAGAUCUGCUUUCUAAAGGAACUGUCUUUUAUUUCACAUAAUCUCAUAUCACUUCACGGACUAAUUAAAUCUAGCCAGGAGAAAGAUUGUCACCAUGGCUUUAUUUAUUGAACUCUCCUCUCCUCUCUCCUCUCCU